GGUGUUGGUAGAGAAGGUGAGUGUAUUUUGCUGGAGAUCCCUGCCUACAGGAGGUCUUCCAGAGCUACCCGUGACCAAAAUGGAUGGAGCAGUGAGUCACCUACCAGACAGCAUUAGAGCUGUGGCAACAAGAGACCAGAUGUAACUUCUGCCCUGUAUCUCCUUUCCAGACCACAGAAGUACAGCAUAUCGAAUUUGCUUUGACUUGCACAAGCUACAAAUCCUGCUGCUUUCAAGUAACUGCUGUGCUGUUGGCUGUGAAAGCAAGAGAACAGCUUCUGCAGAUGAAAGGCCAGCGAUGAUAGCACUGGAAUGUGACCUCGGACGUUUAUCAGAAUGACAUUGUAUGUCAGAUGAUACAGCAUCCUUAUUUUUCCAACCACUUUUGGCCUGGAAUCAGGUCAGUACAAGAUGGGUGCAUAUAUCGCCAUGCUAUGCACACAUCCAUAAAUGGCAUAUCCUUCAUUAAGACUUGUGAUAGGAAGUUACUUUUGUUAAUAUGAAAUAGGUUUCAUUUCAGUAGCCCUCCUUUGUGUUGUCAUUUACCACCUUCUUUUGUCACUUAUAACAUGUUUAAAAGUUUGCUCAAAGGAAACCACUUGGAUUAGAAAGAUCAACUGUUCUGUCUGAUAAAUAAUAAUAAUAAUAAUUUUAAAAAUUGAAACAAAUAUCAAAUAUGGAUCAUUUUCUUGCUAUUGAUCAAGGCCAUUCUUCUGCUUAACACACCAGGGUCUCAUAAACUGUAAAUGAUUAUUCCUUCUUGCA
This is a non-coding RNA of Coturnix japonica (Japanese quail), 765 nucleotides long. Lineage: Eukaryota; Metazoa; Chordata; Aves; Galliformes; Phasianidae. The record is from RefSeq and is a predicted model, not a curated record.